GUCUGUAAACAAGUCAGGAUGGCACCUGGCAUUUUGCCAGAGAAAUGUUAGAGUCUGUAAACAAGUCUGGAUGGCGCCUGGCAAAAUGCCAGAGGGAGUGGUUUGUGAAGUAACUCCAGUGAGCCAUUAAGUGUGGAGAUUCCUUAUUGGUUGACUGCUGUAUCUAGUUUAUGCUAAUUAAGAUAAGCUGUGUGGAAUGUAUAAAUACCUCUGUUGUCCUACAAUAAAGGGCUUCCACUCCUGCUGUAUCAAUGUACCCAAGUUGUUCGUCACCCCCUGCUAUUUUGCUGCAGCCGGACUGCGGCAGAUGGUGGCCCGUUACAGGGAGCCCCGGGACACUCGGGGGAUUUUCUUUAGCCAUCCGGAGUUCCUGCCUUUGUCCCAGUGCCGGUGAAAACGAAAGUGGAAGAAUUUCCAGUGUUGCUGAAAACCUGAGGAGACUUCGGAUCAAGCUAGCUGCCUGCAGAACUUACCUGGACUGUGAUUUACCUGGACUGUGAGUUAAUCUAUUGAGACACUGCUUUACCUGGACUGAGACAACAAACUGUAAUCUACAACAAAUUGUAACUCGGUAUCUUUGCAAAUGGUGUCAUUGCUGGUAUAAUUUUUCCAAGGGCUUCUUGCAUGGAGCCAUCAAUUGGCUUGGUAUUGUGACAUUUUGUAUCCUCCCCUUCUGCUCAUAGCAGAUUAUUUGUGGUGUUUAUGUAAAAACCACUAUUGUGGUUAUUUAAAUUAAACAAAAGGGGGAAAUGUUAGAGUCUGUAAACAAGUCAGGAUGGCGCCUGGCAUUUUGCCAGAGAAAUGUUAGAGUCUGUAAACAAGUCUGGAUGGCACCUGGCAAAAUGCCAGAGGGAGUGGUUUGUGAAGUAACUCCAGUGAGCCAUUAAGUGUGGAGAUUCCUUAUUGGUUGACUGCUGUAUCUAGUUUAUGCUAAUUAAGAUAAGCUGUGUGGAAUGUAUAAAUACCUCUGUUGUCCUACAAUAAAGGGCUUCCACUCUUGCUGUA
Molecule: long non-coding RNA, 1005 nt
Organism: Marmota monax (woodchuck)
Lineage: Eukaryota; Metazoa; Chordata; Mammalia; Rodentia; Sciuridae
Exons: 2
Source: RefSeq, a predicted model, not a curated record